UUCUGGUUAGCUCAGUUAGUAGAGCACUCCACAGGAAAUGGAGAGGCCCCUUGUUGGAUACCAGGACCAGGCG
This 73-nucleotide transfer RNA is filed under the name Ixodes scapularis (black-legged tick). Its description in RNAcentral is "tRNA-Ser". Lineage: Eukaryota; Metazoa; Arthropoda; Arachnida; Ixodida; Ixodidae. The record is from RNAcentral.